This is a long non-coding RNA of Lagenorhynchus albirostris (white-beaked dolphin), 379 nucleotides long. RefSeq lists it as uncharacterized. The transcript has 3 exons. Lineage: Eukaryota; Metazoa; Chordata; Mammalia; Artiodactyla; Delphinidae. The record is from RefSeq and is a predicted model, not a curated record.
CUGGAAGUUGAGGAACGCCAGGUCUCCCUUCACUUGGCGGACCACUUCCAUGGUCAGCACCUUCUCUUCAUGGAUGAUGGCCAAGUGCAGGAACCUGAGGGAAAGAGAGGGAAAACCCCGCAGGGCUGGCGAGAUGACUGCUGCGUAGCAGAUGGCAGGCUUUGCCUUCCAGAGAGUAACACCAGACCAUUUCAGGGGAAGCACUUAUUCUCAAAACCUGAUUGGUGACUACAGCUCCAGUUCCAGAGAUUGUAGACCGAGUCUACAAUCAAGACCAAGAAAAAAUUUUGAGAGGAAGAUAAUUUAAAAUGUUAAUUCAGUGGGAGAUACCAUAGCCAGUUACAUUUACAAAAGAUUAUUGAUUGAGAAAAGAAAAAAA